RNAcentral lists this ribosomal RNA (123 nucleotides) under Octodon degus (degu). Lineage: Eukaryota; Metazoa; Chordata; Mammalia; Rodentia; Octodontidae. The record is from RNAcentral.
CCAUACCACCCUGAACAUGCCUGAUCUCAUCUGAUCUCAGAAGCUAAGCAGGGCUGGGCCUGGUUAGUACUUGGAUGGGAGGUUUGAAUCAGAACCAUCUCUAAAGUCCUGGAGAAAAAAAAC